CUUUAGUUCCUCCACCCUUUUGCCUCAGUCGAUCUUCUCUGCUUCUUCUAGAAAAUCCUCUCUUGUGCCAUGUGGGUUCCGGGCAUUUUCUUCUCUCGCCAGCUGUCCUGGAUUGCUUUCCAGUUUGCUACAGGGCUGCCAGGCACCCAGCAAGGCUCUCAUUUGCUGCUACACACUCUCUGAGCUCUGUUGCUCUGCUUCAGAGCCUUUCCCCCAGCUUCCUAAAUGUCUGUUUGUGCAUUUUAACUCAGCAGGUGCCAAACGGUGUCACAGAUUCGGGUCUCAUUUUUCUGGAUCUGAACCAAUUGUACUCAGCUGGAGACACCUAGGUGCUAGAUGCUUUCCAGCUUGGUGACUCUGCAGAAAGGAGGAGGCCAGGCCCUGCUCUUGGAGGCGUGGGUGAUGGGAUAGCCACGGAACGCAGAAAGCUUCUCCACUCUCACCUCCAGCCCCUGCAGGUUGGCUCAGGGUCUGUGUGCAUCCAUCGAAGGUGUGGGGAAAGCUGGGUUCUGCGGGGUGAACUGGAGAGGCACAAACAGCACCUUGCUAAGACUGGUUAGGGUGUGGAUAGGUACUAGUCCCCUCAGGAACCUGGCAAGAGAGCCUCACUGAAAUGUCAUUAGAGGUCUGUGGACCUCAGAUCUCUGAGAUCAGCACCAGCAGGAGCCAUCUGUGGAGGAAAGUAGGGCUCAGAGGGGCCCUGAGUGCAUGCUUCUAUAGAUCAGAACUUUGAAGCUGCAAGUCCAGUGUCCAGCACCCCCCUCGUCUCCCUCAAAAGCCUGUUUUGUGUUUCAUGGGAUACCUCAGGUAAUGCCUUGCCCAAAACAUCAACUCAGGGCAGAACACAUGAACUGAGAGUUUCCUUCCGAAGUUCUCAGCCUUCUCAGUCCGCUUGCUCGUCCUUUCUGUGGCCUCUCCUGUGAACCCUUAGCCAGGCAAGGACACAGGACACAGGGCCACACGGACUGGACUCAGUCUUGCUCUAAGGCAAUGGUUUUGGGCACCAGCCCCUGAGUUACUGAGACGAGGCCUGGGAAUACACAUUCCUGACAAGUUCUAGGAGCUGCUGGUUCUUCUUGCUUAGGGAGCGCACUUUGAGAAGCACUGCUCUAAGGCAACUUUCUUGAGUGUGUUUUUAGAUCAAAGACCCACUUGGCAAUCUGUUGAGGAGCUUUGCCACCACUUCCAGGAAAAACAAUGCAUCACUGUUAAAAAAGUAUACAAACUUGCUUACAAUUUCAGGGUUUACCAGACUUACAGAAAUUCAUGCAUGAACUUCUGGUUAAAAACCUCCUUACUCCAGUUAAAAGCAGAAUUCAUAGGUAGAAGAAAGGUUUAUAAGGUAAAGAAAAGAAAAUUUUUUCACUGCAAACCAAGGAACUUGAUAGCAAAUCAACUGAGCAUCUGUUUCCUAAAAACUGGACUAUAACAUUUCAAUUCCUGUCUCUGACAUUCACAAGCUCUGCUUUGUUUCCUCCUCUGUAGAUGAGGACUGAUAAUAAAAGCUAGUUACAGAGCUGUGUGAGGACUGCAUGAGCUCGUAUGUGCAAAGCAUGUAACACUGGGCAUGGCACACAGUGUGUGUGCAGCAUCGUUCCCAGGUCCUUUAGCUCAGGGAAAUUCUGUUGAUUCGACUUCCUGAUAUAACACAAGCCUUACGUUUCCAGUCUUAAUGUCCACAGUCCUAGUUUAGGGUUUAACUGUACCUCACCUGCCACACUGCUGUCUCCCCCACUGCUUCUUAUUUUGAUUUUUCCUCUCCUGGGCAUCUCCAGAUAAUACCCACCGAGUCUACUCCGUAUCUGUCCACCGUAACAAAAUAUUUGAGGCUGGGCACUUUAUAAAGAGAAGAGUGUUGUUCAGUUCACUGUUUUGGAGAUUCAGGAGUGUGACACCAACCUCUGCAGUGGUCUGGUGAGAAUUUUGGGCCACAACACCACAUGGUGGUGGCUGCAUGACAGCAACAAAUAGACAGAGUCAGAUGGGAACCUUGAGGUACUGAGGGGCCAGGCCCACUUCUGAUAUCAACGUGACUAACCAGGGUCCCACAAGAAUUACAGUAACCCUGUCAACCCAAUGUCUUAAUUGCCUUCAGCAGAUCUUACCUCUUCACAGGUUCCUCCACUUAGCACCGCCACACUGAGGGCCAGGCUUCCAGCACGUGAAUUCUUAGGGACACACUCAAAUCAUGCCACACCACAGCACGUUCCAAACCUGUCCCACCUUGUCAUCCCCUGCUUAGACUUUUCCAAAGACUGCCCUGUCACACAGGAGAAAGUCUGAGCCCUUAAGCCUCAUAUGCCAUGAGCUCUGCUUUAUUCCAACACUGCUCCUUCCCAAGCCUCAUCGCCCUUCUAUCCCUUUCUCUCUUCUGCUCCACACAAAGGAUGUACAGACUGACUCCAGGCACACUAUACUAUUAAUUUUCCCUGGCCUUAAAACAAAACUUCCUGUGCCCUGAAGGCCUUCCCACUCCCCUGGCAGCAGACUUCUACUGAAUACUGUUCAAGACCCCCAGGAGCACUUCUGCAUUAUCCCUCAUGUCCAAGCAGAAAGGAUUUCUCCUUUCCUAUGACCCACCACAUCUUGCACUGUCUGCUGCUUCUAGCACUUUAUGAGUGCACAUAUACACUCUUGAGUCUGUGGCAGCCACUGAAUACUAUUCCCAGAGUCCACUUCUGUUUUCUGUAAGACAAGGCCAUUUCCCAGAGUUGCUGCAGAAAAGUUUCUGGGUGCAUAUUCAACUCACCAAUAUCUGUCUAUGUAUAGGACAUGAAGAGCAAAGGAGAGAGAUGUUGAGAUAUUUCCUACUGGCAAGUACAGUGAUGAGACAGGAAGUUUCUCUGCAUCAUAAACCGGUAACCAGCCAAUCAUUUUAUGAUUGUCAAGAGUAGAUUUUAACAGCAGCAAUAACAGCUUCGCAUCACUGGAUUUCUGAUUCUUAGACUGCAAGUAUAUGGUAUGUUAUGGGCUCUGGAACCUAGACCCCAGUAAUUACCUAGUUUUGGGCUUUCUGAUUGGCUGCUUCCCUGAUGGGGCAGAGGUAAUCCCUCUUUGGAAGUCAUCCCUGGAACCUAUAAUCUACUCCUCCAGCCCUUAGAGUGAUUUAACCCUCCUAUUAAAAUCCUUUCUGCUUGAA
This 3139-nucleotide long non-coding RNA is filed under the name Chinchilla lanigera (long-tailed chinchilla). Its description in RNAcentral is "lncRNA (ENSCLAG00000023478.1)". The record is from RNAcentral. Lineage: Eukaryota; Metazoa; Chordata; Mammalia; Rodentia; Chinchillidae.